UAAGGAAUAUUGCGCAAUGGGCGAAAGCCUGACGCAGCGACGCCGCGUGGGGGAUGAAGGUCUUCGGAUUGUAAACCCCUGUCGAAUGGGACGAAUAGCCCGCGAAUUAAUACCUCGUGGGAAUGACGGUACCGUUAAAGGAAGCCACGGCUAACUCUGUGCCAGCAGCCGCGGUAAUACAGAGGUGGCAAGCGUUGUUCGGAAUUACUGGGCGUAAAGGGCGCGUAGGCGGCCAUCUAAGUCAGACGUGAAAUCCCCCGGCUCAACCUGGGAACUGCGUCUGAUACUGGGAGGCUAGAGUUUGGGAGAGGGAUGUAGAAUUCCAGGUGUAGCGGUGAAAUGCGUAGAUAUCUGGAGGAAUACCGGUGGCGAAGGCGGCAUCCUGGACCAAUACUGACGCUGAGGCGCGAAAGCUAGGGGAGCAAACGGGAUUAGAUACCCCCGUAGUCCCUGAGCGGGCUGGCAAGGCGCAU
RNAcentral lists this ribosomal RNA (473 nucleotides) under uncultured bacterium. RNAcentral's name for it is "bacterial SSU rRNA". It matches the Rfam family "Bacterial small subunit ribosomal RNA", at positions 355 to 825 of the family's 1533-position model. The record is from RNAcentral.